UACGUAGGGGGCUAGCGUUGUCCGGAAUCCUUGGGCGUAAAGAGCGUGUAGGCGGCCCGGUAAGUCCGCUGUGAAAGUCGGGGGCUCAACCCUCGAAUGCCGGUGGAUACUGUCGGGCUAGAGUGCGGAAGAGGCAAGUGGAAUUCCCGGUGUAGCGGUGAAAUGCGCAGAUAUCGGGAGGAACACCAAUGGCGAAGGCAGCUUGCUGGGACGGUACUGACGCUGAGACGCGAAAGCGUGGGGAGCAAACAGG
This 253-nucleotide ribosomal RNA is filed under the name uncultured bacterium. RNAcentral describes it as "partial 16S ribosomal RNA". It matches the Rfam family "Bacterial small subunit ribosomal RNA", at positions 524 to 776 of the family's 1533-position model. The record is from RNAcentral.